This is a long non-coding RNA of Eriocheir sinensis (Chinese mitten crab), 1311 nucleotides long. RefSeq lists it as uncharacterized. NCBI's taxonomy places the organism in Eukaryota, Metazoa, Arthropoda, Malacostraca, Decapoda, Varunidae. The transcript has 3 exons. The record is from RefSeq and is a predicted model, not a curated record.
GAGAGAGAGAGAGAGAGAGAGAGAGAGAGAGAGAGAGAGAGAGAGAGAGAGUCUUUCGUUUAUGGUUUCAGAAAAGUUUGUUAUGUAAUUGUUUUCGUUUUGGCGGCGCCCCGGAAAGCAGGAAGACGAGGGAGCGAUAUUGUAAACUUUGCUCUAAACUUUCCUUCUGCCUCUCGCGGUGACCUGGUUAUAUCUCGGGUGAAGUUUUCUCUGGGACUUAUUACUUUCCUAUUAUUUUUUUUUUCUGUGUGGCAUUUAAAACGGUACAAAAUAGAGGUGUAGGAAAGGGCAUGCAAAUUAUCGCUUCCAUAAAUAUAGGACGCCUGCUUUUCUCUCAAAUGGAAGAAUUAAAAAGAAAACAAGACCGCAGAGUAGCGCUGCCAUAAACAUAUCGACACACACACACACACACACACACACACACACACACACACACACACACACACACACACACACACAUUGGAGACAGAUCAAAUGGCAAUUAAAAAUCCAAUUAUUUCGGAGAUCACAAUUAACCAAACUGUUGCUUCCACGCGCCGGACAGCAUUUCCAAUAGCAUUUUAUUUUUAUUCAUUAUUUACACCAAACAGUUACGGUAUAAAAAAAAUAGCAAACGGUGAAAAGUCCUGCAAAUUAUUGAUCUCAGGCUAGCAUAGGUUAAGAUUAGAUUAGAUUAGGUUAGAUUUUCCUCACGAGCUCGGGACGCUAGCCUGAGGUUCUUAGUCAGUUAGUUAGUUAGUUAGUUAGUUGAUCAGUCAGUUAGGUAUGUAGGGAGAUAGAUAGGAUGUCAGUUAAUUGGUUAGUUUGGCAUGUAGGGAGAUAGAUAGGUAGUUAGUCGGUCAAUUAGUUAGGUGUAUAAGGAGGUAGAUAAUAGUUUGUCAAUUGGUUAGUUAGGCAUGUAGGGAAAUAGAUAGGAUUUCAGUUAAUUGGUUAGUUGGGUUGUUAGUUAGGCAUGUAGGGAGAUAGAUAUGUAGUUAGUCGGUCAGUUAGUUAGGUGUGAAAGGAGGUAGGUAAUAGUUUGUUAAUUGGUUAGUUAGGCAUGUAGGGAGAUAGAUUAGGUAGUUAGUUAGGCAUGUAGGGAGAUAGAUAAGGUAGUUAGGUAGUUAGUUAGGCAUGUAGGGAGAUAGAUAAGGUAGUUAGGUAGUUAUGUAGGGAGAUAGGUUAGUAGGUAGUCCUUUAGUUAGUAUGUUCGUUAGUUGGUGUGGAGUUGAAGUGGAUUAAGGCGGCAGUUUCCAUGCGCGUGUGUGGUUUUGUGGGUCACGGGGUAGUUAACUCGGCGAAGGUUUUCCAUGAGUUUCCUACAAUUUUCUA